This 30-nucleotide small RNA is filed under the name Bombyx mori (domestic silkworm). RNAcentral's name for it is "ovarian small RNA-13688". Lineage: Eukaryota; Metazoa; Arthropoda; Insecta; Lepidoptera; Bombycidae. The record is from RNAcentral.
CCCGCUAAGAACUCCCCAAAAGGGGAAGGC